Long non-coding RNA from Cyprinus carpio (common carp), 664 nucleotides. The record is from Ensembl. Lineage: Eukaryota; Metazoa; Chordata; Actinopteri; Cypriniformes; Cyprinidae.
UCGCCAUCUAAUGGUGUAACAAUGUGACAAAAAUCACCAUCACGAACACACACACUGUAUCCCAAUAAUAAAUACUACUAUGUAUAUAAAAUAGAAUGUUUUGAAUAAUAAACAACAGCAACAGCCAUCAUAAAAGUUGCUAGACAAUUCAGUCAAAAGUACAAAGGCAGCGCUCUAAUAUACAGCAUUAAAAUUACAUAAAAUAUAACGUGAUGAGAUUUUGCCUUCAGCUGAAACUAUUUGCUCUGGAACAAAUAAUAAAUUGAUGAGACCAAAGACUGCCCGUUAGAAUUAUUGAAAACUAAUUAUAUCUCUUGUUUAUCCACUAUAGAGACAUCAGAGCUAGCGGCAAAUUCCGGAAGACCUGGCCGAGGUGAGGCAGCUCUCGGCGGGUUCAUGCGCUGAACGCCCGCUGACGCCUUGGAGCUUACGUCUCGGAAAAUAUCGAAGCACCAGUCUAAACAAUGGCCAUGAAAUACAGCAUCCUUUUGCAGUAAACUGUGGAAUGUUUCUGGCCAGAAAAGCUUUGGACGUGUUGUUAAGAGUUGCAGUAAGUAAAAUCAUAUGACCUGUCCUGUUUGCAUGACUACUCUUUGAGCCGCCACAGCAAGACAUAAAUAAUUGUAGUGCAGGACUAUCAAUAAAUGAAAUACUCAGCGGUUCA